AGAAACCGCCGAGAUCAAGAUCGGGAAGAGAACUAUGCAGAUUGUCCAACGCACCCUAAUCUCAGCCUCGCAUGUCGUUGACCUCUUCCUCUCUGAUACUCCUUCAUCACCUGCGAUUACUCCGGAAUUGAACAGGUAACAAUCCCUAACUGAAACUCGAUCAUUUGUGUAACGAGUAUGAUCGAAUCGAAAGUUUCUCGACAUCUUUCACUCCUUUUUUUUUCUCUCAUGCGUGGAGGAUUUGUGCAUCAGGUUGACCAAGCUUGCCUGAGAAGAAAGAGAACAUCUAAUGCAGCUUCUUGAGUUGGUUCUGAGCCAGAGUUAAGGGCGGUCAAUAGGUGUGUGAUGCUUAAGGUUGCAGUUCGGUGGCUCUCAAAUGUGGGAAAUUACCAAAAAGGGCAUUUAGAGCCUUUAAAAACCCUUCAUUCACUGUUCCAUUCGCCUAUAUAUCCUUUUCAAUAGCAAAUGAAGGGACUGCCUGUUAUACAAACAAAUUCAAAGGGAGGUCCACCAAAAGACAAUGCCAUCAAUUGGUGUCAAUCUCACUGGUAAAUCUACUAAAGAUGUGGAUUCACGAACCAUUUUUGUUAGCAAUGUUCAUUUUGUUGUUACCAAGGAUAGUCUUUCUCAGCACUUCAACAAGUUCAGGGAUGUAUUUAUAUUAACUGGAGCUGCAUUGGGAUUAGAGGUGCACAAAAUAACCGGUUAAUUAACCGUAACCGGUUAUUAACCGAAACCGUAACCGGUUAAUAACCGAUUUAGGAAUAACCGGUUCAAUAGGUUAUUUAACCGUAGGUUAGUAACCGGUUAUAAGUGUUUAGUAUAAUAACCGGUUAUUAACCGGUAUUUUUAAACCGGUUUUUUAACCGAUAGACUGGUUAACCGAAAAAAUAACCGAAAAAUUCAAAAAAAAGGCAAAAAAACCUGUUAAUAACCGAAAAUAACCGGUUAAUUAACCGAACCGGUUAAAGUAAUUAACCGGACCAGUUAAAAAAAUAACCGGUUAAAGUAAUAACCGGUUAAAGCAUUAACCGGUUAAAGUCAAAAAGUCAAAUUAACCGGAAUAACCGGUUAACCGAUCCGGUUAUUAAAUUAACCGGUUUGUGCACCUCUAAUUGGGAUAGCCAAAUGGAUCUGUGGUUGUCAUAUGAAAUGUACCUUACCAUAUGACUAGGCCCAAUAAUCAUGACCCGUCCAUCGUCAGAUGGGUUGAUUUGAGUUAAAAAAAAAAAGUUGUAUUCGGGUUCAUUUGGGUCUACUCUACCUACACAAUGGGUCAUGUUGGGCCAGCUCUAAUUAAGCAACGGGUUAAAAUGGGUCACUCUAAAACCACCUUCUAACUUUAUAUGAGUCCAAAUAGGUGAGCAACAGCCACAACCUUUUUUGUCAUCACCACUUAUUUGUUGUCUUUGGCUGAACUUUGCACUUAUUAUUUUAAAAAAUAGCUUUAAGAAAACCGUUCAGGUUUUACGCUCUUGGAUUUCUUCAUUUUCUUCUUUAAAAAUGAAAAAAGAAUAUCUAAAAUUAAGAUAUGAAAUUUUGAUAUAAUUGAAGUUCUCACAAUGCAUACACACAAAUGUUUAGAAAUGUAACUCGGAAUGGAUGCUAUUUUUUUUGAGAGAUUUUGUGUACUUAUAAAUAAUUACUUGAAGCUCAAGUCCAGCCAGGUUAAUGUAGCAUUGGUAUUAUUUGUAGAUUUUUUUAUUAUUCCACUACGGUGGACAUGUGAAUUCGUAAAAACCAUCUCAGAUUCUUUUCCACGGUUGAGUUUGUCAAAAGUGUAUGCUCAUAUAUUGCAAAUGUGCGGUAAACGUUGGAACUUUUGUUCAACAAACCAGUUAUAGACCGUUUGUUUUGGUUGAUUUUUUUGGAUUUUUUUUUUUAAAUUUAGAGACAACUUCUUAUUUACUUUUAUUAACCACCUAUACAUUUGCUAUGCAGGAUCUGAACCCUCUUUUUUUUUUUUUUUUUAUAAAGUGAGGUACCUUACCACAGGAGGGAAACUUGGGAAUGUGCUAUUGAGAAUACCCAAGGCAAGAGAAGUAUAAGUUUUAAAUUUGUUUCAAUAAACCCAAGGAAUGAAAUAUCUUAUGCUCACAUAAGUUUUGGUGCUAUUGAACUUCUACCAUUUGUUUUUGUUCUUUUGUUCAUAUUAAAUUUAUGGCUAACUACUUGGUUUGGUGGUUG
This is an RNA transcript of Helianthus annuus (common sunflower), 2187 nucleotides long. RefSeq lists it as uncharacterized. The record is from RefSeq and is a predicted model, not a curated record. The transcript is spliced from 5 exons. NCBI's taxonomy places the organism in Eukaryota, Viridiplantae, Streptophyta, Magnoliopsida, Asterales, Asteraceae.